This 369-nucleotide ribosomal RNA is filed under the name uncultured bacterium. RNAcentral describes it as "bacterial SSU rRNA". It matches the Rfam family "Bacterial small subunit ribosomal RNA", at positions 527 to 895 of the family's 1533-position model. The record is from RNAcentral.
GUAGGGUGCGAGCGUUAAUCGGAAUUACUGGGCGUAAAGCGUGCGCAGGCGGUUUUGUAAGCCAGAUGUGAAAUCCCCGGGCUUAACCUGGGAACUGCAUUUGUGACUGCAUGGCUGGAGUGCGGCAGAGGGGGAUGGAAUUCCGCGUGUAGCAGUGAAAUGCGUAGAUAUGCGGAGGAACACCGAUGGCGAAGGCAAUCCCCUGGGCCUGCACUGACGCUCAUGCACGAAAGCGUGGGGAGCAAACAGGAUUAGAUACCCUGGUAGUCCACGCCCUAAACGAUGUCAACUGGUUGUUGGACGGCUUGCUGUUCAGUAACGAAGCUAACGCGUGAAGUUGACCGCCUGGGGAGUACGGCCGCCCUUGUU